GAUGAACGCUGGCGGCGUGCCUAAUACAUGCAAGUCGAGCGAACAGACGAGGAGCUUGCUCCUCUGACGUUAGCGGCGGACGGGUGAGUAACACGUGGAUAACCAACCUAUAUUACGGGGAUAACUUCGGGAAACCGGAGCUAAUACCGGAUAAUAUAUUCAACCGCAGGGUUCAAUAGUGAAUGACGGUUUUGCUGUCACUUUUAGAUGGUUCCGCGCCGCAUUAGCGAGUUGGUAAGGUAACGGCCUACCAAGGCGACGAUGCGUAGCCGACCUGAGAGGAUGAUCAGCCACACUGGAACUGAGACACGGUCCAGACUCCUACGGGAGGCAGCAGUGGGGAAUAUUGGCCAAUGGGCGCAAGCCUGAUCGAGCCAUACCGCGGGGGUGAAGAAGGCCUUCGGGUUGUAAAGCCCUUUUUUUGGGAAAGAAAAAAAGCAGGUUAAUACCCCGCUGUUCUGACGGUACCCAAAGAAUAAGCACCGGCUAACUUCGUG
RNAcentral lists this ribosomal RNA (497 nucleotides) under uncultured bacterium. RNAcentral's name for it is "partial 16S ribosomal RNA". It matches the Rfam family "Bacterial small subunit ribosomal RNA", at positions 28 to 507 of the family's 1533-position model. The record is from RNAcentral.